This 438-nucleotide ribosomal RNA is filed under the name Triticum aestivum (bread wheat). RNAcentral describes it as "partial small subunit ribosomal RNA". The record is from RNAcentral. Lineage: Eukaryota; Viridiplantae; Streptophyta; Magnoliopsida; Poales; Poaceae.
AGCCGGCCGCCCUACGGCGAGACCUUCUUCCGGCGCCCCACUGGCCGGGCGUCCGACGGCCGCCUCGUCGUGGACUUCAUCGCUGAGGCGCUGGGGGUACCUCACCCGACGCCGUACCUCGCCGGCAAGAGCGCGGAGGAUUUCCGGCGCGGCGUGAACUUUGCCGUCGGUGGGGCGACGGCGCUUGGCCCGGAUUUCUUCAAGAGCAGAGGGCUUGAGCCGUUUGUGCCCGUCUCUUUCAGAAACCAAGCCACCUGGUUCAAGAACGUUUUGAGUCAAUUGCAGAAAACUACCACAUUUGCGGCUAGGUUUGCGGAAAACCAUCAAGUCGAUAAUCCGUUGCAAAAAAACCGCGAUUUCACUGAACUCUUUGCAAAAAGCACUGAUCGGGUUAUUUGGCCAUUUGAUCAAUUUCUGACAAGUAGGGCCGGAUUGUAA